This 495-nucleotide ribosomal RNA is filed under the name uncultured bacterium. Its description in RNAcentral is "bacterial SSU rRNA". It matches the Rfam family "Bacterial small subunit ribosomal RNA", at positions 23 to 507 of the family's 1533-position model. The record is from RNAcentral.
CUCAGAUUGAACGCUGGCGGCAGGCCUAACACAUGCAAGUCGAAUGGUAACAGGAAACAGCUUGCUGUUUCGCUGACGAGUGGCGGACGGGUGAGUAAUGUCUGGGAAACUGCCUGAUGGAGGGGGAUAACUACUGGAAACGGUAGCUAAUACCGCAUAACGUCGCAAGACCAAAGAGGGGGACCUUCGGGCCUCUUGCCAUCAGAUGUGCCCAGAUGGGAUUAGCUAGUAGGUGGGGUAACGGCUCACCUAGGCGACGAUCCCUAGCUGGUCUGAGAGGAUGACCAGCCACACUGGAACUGAGACACGGUCCAGACUCCUACGGGAGGCAGCAGUGGGGAAUAUUGCACAAUGGGCGCAAGCCUGAUGCAGCCAUGCCGCGUGUAUGAAGAAGGCCUUCGGGUUGUAAAGUACUUUCAGCGGGGAGGAAGGGAGUAAAGUUAAUACCUUUGCUCAUUGACGUUACCCGCAGAAGAAGCACCGGCUAACUCCGUG